UACGGAGGGUGCAAGCGUUAAUCGGAAUUACUGGGCGUAAAGCGCACGCAGGUGGCUGAGUCAGUCGAUUGUGAAAGCCCUGGGCUUAACCUGGGAAUUGCAGUCGAUACUACUCAGCUAGAGUAUGGGAGAGGGUAGUGGAAUUCCCGGUGUAGCGGUGAAAUGCGUAGAUAUCAGGAGGAACACCAAUAGCGAAGGCAGCUCGCUGGGACGUUACUGACACUGAGGCGCGAAAGCGUGGGGAGCGAACAGG
Molecule: ribosomal RNA, 253 nt
Filed under: uncultured bacterium
Lineage: Bacteria
Description: partial 16S ribosomal RNA
Rfam family: Bacterial small subunit ribosomal RNA
Source: RNAcentral